This 424-nucleotide ribosomal RNA is filed under the name uncultured bacterium. RNAcentral's name for it is "bacterial SSU rRNA". It matches the Rfam family "Bacterial small subunit ribosomal RNA", at positions 355 to 796 of the family's 1533-position model. The record is from RNAcentral.
UGGGGAAUCUUGGACAAUGGGGGAAACCCUGAUCCAGCCAUGCCGCGUGAGUGAUGAAGGCCUUCGGGUUGUAAAACUCUUUUACCAGGGAAGAUAAUGACUGUACCUGGAGAAUAAGCCCCGGCUAACUUCGUGCCAGCAGCCGCGGUAAUACGAAGGGGGCUAGCGUUGUUCGGAAUUACUGGGCGUAAAGCGCGCGCAGGCGGUUCUUCAAGUCAGGGGUGAAAGCCCAGAGCUCAACUCUGGAAUUGCCUUUGAAACUGUAGAACUUGAGUACGAGAGAGGUGAGUGGAAUUCCCAGUGUAGAGGUGAAAUUCGUAGAUAUUGGGAAGAACACCGGUGGCGAAGGCGGCUCACUGGCUCGUUACUGACGCUCAGGCGCGACAGCGUGGGGAUCAAACAGGAUUAGAUACCCCCGUAGUCC